AUUCCAUUGAUCGAAUUUCAAUGAUGGCAUAAUAACUGCCCUCAAUCUACCAUUCCACCAGCCCUGCCAGCCCAGUCAUGUCUCUCUCAUGCUCAUCAUGACACUAAUGAAAGCCACUAGAUGUCACUACUAUAUAAUUUCCACGCUGCAGUGUCUAGCUGACUGCAGAUACAAGAAUCACUUUGCUCACCACCAACAUGGAACCACCCUUGGCAAGGCCAUGGCAGCCAUCACACAGCACCUUGAGAAUUACUGCUCCCAUUCGAAGGAUCACCAGGGCAUCUUUGAAGCAGGUAAAGUGUAUUUUGUGUCUGUCCUUAUUGUUGGGGCCCAUUCAAGUUCUCUCAUCAUGUUUCCCUCCUUUGGACUGGGAGGGUGUUUUGGUUUGUUUGUUCUGAGGCUUCGGUUAUUGAAAAGUUGA
RNAcentral lists this long non-coding RNA (421 nucleotides) under Phasianus colchicus (ring-necked pheasant). RNAcentral's name for it is "lncRNA (ENSPCLG00000008521.1)". The record is from RNAcentral. Lineage: Eukaryota; Metazoa; Chordata; Aves; Galliformes; Phasianidae.